This is a long non-coding RNA of Homo sapiens (human), 700 nucleotides long. Ensembl annotates it as long intergenic non-protein coding RNA 2217. The record is from Ensembl. Lineage: Eukaryota; Metazoa; Chordata; Mammalia; Primates; Hominidae.
GGACAGAUUGCAGAGAGCUCUGUGUGCUGAGAGGAGGGUGCAGACCAGAUUUUUAAAUUGAGAAUGCAACAGUGAAGGAUUUCAAGCUUGGAGUGAGAGGGGAGACUACGAGCCUGCAGUGAUAAGGCAAAGCUGAAGAUUUCAGAGCCAAGGCCACACCCUACAGUUGCCAUGGAAUGGGGUGGCACAGUGGGCUUUGGAGGUAAAGUCUGCAGUUGAGAAGUUCAAGGGUAGUAAGUACUUAAUGCCAGGUCAAUCAUCCCUUUUAAGACACAGAUAUCAUCUGCAGCGUUUUCAGGAACAGCGAUAGAGAAGAAAAGCGGGCAGCUACUAGAUAUUCAAAUCUUCCACAAAUGUCAGGGAGAGAGUCAGGCAGUUGGUAGAAGAGACCUGUAAAGCUGGGUACCAUAAGCCUCAACACAGGUGUUUUUAUUUCAAGGCUGGGGAGCUGUGCUUUGGAAAAGCAAUGAGGAGAUAUACAGGGAGUCCACGGAGCCUCCCCUGCAAGCAUCAGUACAGAAGUCGAUGAUAAUCUGGAUGCAAGCCCAGGAGUGUGGAGUCCACUGACUCAGAAGACCUGCAUCUAAGGAAUUGGCUGUUCUUAUCCUUAAGAAUGAUGACUGUGUUUCCAAUUCCAGUAGACCCUUUGAUGCGUUCUGAAUAAAUAUUCCUUUUGGAAUUGAACUUCUAGAGCCCUUAA